CAGUCGCCGCGGGAAUACGAAGGGUGCAAGCGUUACUCGGAAUUACUGGGCGUAAAGCGUGCGUAGGUGGUGGUUUAAGUCCGUUGUGAAAGCCCUGGGCUCAACCUGGGAAUUGCAGUGGAUACUGGGUCACUAGAGUGUGGUAGAGGAUAGUGGAAUUUCCGGUGUAGCAGUGAAAUGCGUAGAGAUCGGAAGGAACAUCUGUGGCGAAGGCGACUAUCUGGGCCAACACUGACACUGAGGCACGAAAGCGUGGGGAGCAAACAGGAUUAGAUACCCCAGUAGUCCUGUCUCUUAUACA
RNAcentral lists this ribosomal RNA (301 nucleotides) under uncultured bacterium. RNAcentral's name for it is "partial 16S ribosomal RNA". It matches the Rfam family "Bacterial small subunit ribosomal RNA", at positions 509 to 809 of the family's 1533-position model. The record is from RNAcentral.